UGGGAUAAAGAUUCCAUGAUGAGUAUAUUGCACUCAUCUUCCAUGGCUGUUUUCUUCCUCCAAGGAUGUCAAUUGUGCCAUGGAGAAGAGUGCAAUAAACUUGUUGUGGUAUCUAUCGACAAGA
RNAcentral lists this microRNA precursor (124 nucleotides) under Medicago truncatula (barrel medic). RNAcentral describes it as "miR5754 stem-loop (mtr-MIR5754)". Lineage: Eukaryota; Viridiplantae; Streptophyta; Magnoliopsida; Fabales; Fabaceae. The record is from miRBase by way of RNAcentral.